Molecule: long non-coding RNA, 844 nt
Filed under: Homo sapiens (human)
Lineage: Eukaryota; Metazoa; Chordata; Mammalia; Primates; Hominidae
Description: uncharacterized LOC105376292, transcript variant 4 (LOC105376292)
Source: RNAcentral
AUAUGCCAUGUGAAGACGCAGGGAGAAUGUGACAUCUGCAAGCCAAGGAGAGAGGCUGCAGGAGAAACCAGCUCUGCUGACACUUUGAUCUCAAGCUCUGGCCACCAGAACUGUGAGCAAAUAAGUGUCUGUUGUUUAGGGCACCCUGUCCAUGGCACCUUGCUCCGAUAGCCCCAGGAAACGAAUCCACAGAGGAGGAAGCCGAGGUUGGGAAAGGUGGAGGGACUUGCCCAAGUCACACAAACGACAACUCAGCAGAGCUGAGAAUUGGCACCCAGGGCAACUGGAGUCCAUCCUGAGCUUGUCACUGCUGGGCUCUGAGACCUCCUGGUGAAGAAGGACAGUGGCAGAGACAGCCCGACCCAGAGAAACCCAGCAACGCUACUUUCUAAGGGCAUUUUUCCCUCUCAUUUGGAAUCCUGAGCCUCCUGCUCGUCCUGUAGGCCACACCCAGCAAACAGAGCUGGCUGGGAACUGGGAGAAGAGCUGGAGCAACAGCCUGCAUCCAUUUCCUCUUGCUGCAAUAACAACUGAUCACAAGAUGGAGUCUCACUCUGUCAACCAGGCUGGAGUGCACUGGCGCAAUCUCGGCUCACUGCAGUCACCUCCUCUCAGGUUCAAGUGAUUCUCCUGCCUCUGCCUCCUGAGUAGCUGGGAUUACAGAAUGUGAGCAUGGAGUCUGGAGCAGGAGCAGCUGUUGUGCACUGUGAGGUUGAAGCCGUGUGUUGAGAAUAGCAGAGCAACAAAGCAAUAGGAGCUGGAGCCCCUAGGGGCCAUGAAGCCCCUACCAGCCCUGGACUGCUUAGAUUUACUUGAGCAAGAAAUAAACCCUUGAUUGUUUAAA